RNAcentral lists this small nuclear RNA (272 nucleotides) under Rattus norvegicus (Norway rat). Its description in RNAcentral is "7SK RNA". It matches the Rfam family "7SK RNA". Rfam says of the family: 7SK was discovered as an abundant small nuclear RNA in the mid-70s but a possible function has only recently been suggested. Two independent studies have found that 7SK RNA binds the CDK9/cyclin T complex (known as elongation factor P-TEFb). P-TEFb activates transcription by phosphorylating the C-terminal domain of RNA polymerase II. Lineage: Eukaryota; Metazoa; Chordata; Mammalia; Rodentia; Muridae. The record is from Rfam by way of RNAcentral.
GGAUGUGGGGGUGAUCUGCUGCAAAUCUGUCAUCCCAUUUUCUCCACUGUUGAUCCGUCUGAUCUGAGUGUCAAGGUGGGUGUCUCUCCUUCCUCUUCAUUCCAUAUGUGUCCCUCCUAAAGAGUGCACACUGCACAAAUAAAGCAGGACCUGUCUUCAGCCAAAGGUGCAGUAGUAGCUUCGUUCCCCUGCCAGAACCUCCAAAUGGGCUCUCAAGGGAUUUGUGUGACCAAACACCAAAAAUCUCUCCAAAAGUAAGUAUUGGAGUGCUU